CAAGUCGAACGCGAAAGUUCCCUUCGGGGGGCGAGUAGAGUGGCGCACGGGUGAGUAACACGUAGGUAAUCUACCUUUGGAUUGGGAAUAACAACCGGAAACGGUUGCUAAUACCGAAUAAUGCAGCGGCACCUAAUGGUGACAGUUGUUAAAGCGGGGGAUCGCAAGACCUCGCGUCUGAAGAGGAGCCUGCGGCAGAUUAGCUAGUUGGUAAGGUAACGGCUUACCAAGGCGAUGAUCUGUAGCCGGCCUGAGAGGGCGGUCGGCCACACUGACACUGACAUACGGGUCAGACUCCUACGGGAGGCAGCAGUCGGGAAUUUUGGGCAAUGGGCGCAAGCCUGACCCAGCAACGCCGCGUGAAGGAUGAAAUCCUUCGGGAUGUAAACUUCGCAAGAACAGGAAGAAUAAUCCGGUGUUAACACCACCGGCGAUGACGGUACUGUUUGUAAGCUCCGGCUAACUCCGUGCCAGCAGCCGCGGUAAUACGGGGGGAGCAAGCGUUGUUCGGAUUUACUGGGCGUAAAGGGCGCGUAGGCGGCCACCGCAAGUCGACUGUGAAAUCUCCGGGCUUAACCCGGAAAGGUCAGCCGAUACUGCGGGGCUAGAGUGCAGAAGGGGCAACUGGAAUUCUCGGUGUAGCGGUGAAAUGCGUAGAUAUCGAGAGGAACACCUGCGGCGAAGGCGGGUUGCUGGGCUGACACUGACGCUGAAGCGCGAAAGCUAGGGGAGCGAACGGGAUUAGAUACCCCGGUAGUCCUAGCCUUAAACGAUGAAUGCUUGGUGUCUGGGGUUUUAUAGUCCCCGGGUGCCGUCGCUAACGCUUUAAGCAUUCCGCCUGGGGAGUACGGUCGCAAGACUGAAACUCAAAGGAAUUGACGGGGACCCGCACAAGCGGUGGAGCAUGUGGUUUAAUUC
Molecule: ribosomal RNA, 918 nt
Filed under: uncultured Bacillota bacterium
Lineage: Bacteria; Bacillati; Bacillota
Description: bacterial SSU rRNA
Rfam family: Bacterial small subunit ribosomal RNA
Source: RNAcentral